This is a long non-coding RNA of Ceratitis capitata (Mediterranean fruit fly), 243 nucleotides long. RefSeq lists it as uncharacterized. The transcript has 2 exons. The record is from RefSeq and is a predicted model, not a curated record. NCBI's taxonomy places the organism in Eukaryota, Metazoa, Arthropoda, Insecta, Diptera, Tephritidae.
CGAAUUCGAAUCAAAGCUUGGCUGCACAGCACUACAACGCUGCCGGGAAUGCUCCGUCGAACGUCGGCGCAUCCAAUAUCUGAGGAAAUUGUAUCUCAAAAACCGAUGAAAAGAAAAACUACUCCGAAAUAAGUCAAAUCCAUUGCCGGCCGAGCCAAUGAAGACAACCAUUCCAAAAAGAAUUGUCUUCACACAGAUGACACCUGAAAGCUAUGGGAGAAUUAACGGCUGAUAGCACAGAGA